GGAGAAAUGAUGCAAAUGUAUUUCUUUGUUGUAUUUCUUUCUUGUAUUUAUUUAAAUAUUAUUAUACUCCGAUCUAU
Hyposmocoma kahamanoa is the source of this 77-nucleotide small nucleolar RNA. RefSeq annotates it as small nucleolar RNA Z175. NCBI's taxonomy places the organism in Eukaryota, Metazoa, Arthropoda, Insecta, Lepidoptera, Cosmopterigidae. The record is from RefSeq and is a predicted model, not a curated record. The transcript has a single exon.